RNAcentral lists this ribosomal RNA (473 nucleotides) under uncultured bacterium. RNAcentral's name for it is "bacterial SSU rRNA". It matches the Rfam family "Bacterial small subunit ribosomal RNA", at positions 26 to 518 of the family's 1533-position model. The record is from RNAcentral.
GCUAGGACGAACGCUGGCGGCGUGCUUCAUACAUGCAAGUCGAACGAGAAGCUUACUCGGUAAGUGGAAAGUGGCGGACGGGUGAGUAAUGUGUAGAGAAUCUGCCCUAGAGUGGGGGAUAGCAGUUGGAAACGACUAUUAAUACCCCAUAUGCGCGUAGCUGAGAUGCUAUUCGUGAAAACUCCGGUGCUCUGGGAUGAGUCUGCAUCUGAUUAGCUAGUUGGCGGUGUAAUGGACCACCAAGGCGACGAUCAGUAGCUGGUUUGAGAGGAUGAUCAGCCACAAUGGGACUGAGACACGGCCCAUACUCCUACGGGAGGCAGCAGUAGGGAAUUUUGCGCAAUGGGGGAAACCCUGACGCAGCAACGCCGCGUGAAUGAAGAAGCCCUUCGGGGUGUAAAGUUCUGUCAGUGGGGACGAAACUUGACGGUACCCACAGAGGAAGCAUCGGCUAACUCCGUGCCAGCCGCAGC